Molecule: ribosomal RNA, 355 nt
Filed under: uncultured bacterium
Lineage: Bacteria
Description: bacterial SSU rRNA
Rfam family: Bacterial small subunit ribosomal RNA
Source: RNAcentral
CGUCAGCGCGCGCUAGCGGUCUGUCUAGUCAGAUGUGAAUCUCGGGCUCCCCUGGGAACUGCAUUCGAUACUGGCAGGCUGGAGUCUUGUAGAGGGGGGUGGAAUUCCUGGUGUAGCGGUGAAAUGCGUAGAUAUCUGGAGGAACACCGGUGGCGAAGGCGGCUCCCUGGACCAAUACUGACGCUCAGGUGCGAAAGCGUGGGGAGCAAACAGGAUUAGAUACCCUGGUAGUCCACGCUGUAAACGAUGUCUACUUGGAGUUUGUUCCCUUGAGGAGUGGCUUCCGGAGCUAACGCGUUUAAUCCACCUCCUGGGGAGUACCGCCCCAAGGUUAAAACUCAAAGGAAUUGGCGGG